UGGGGAAUAUUGGACAAUGGGCGAAAGCCUGAUCCAGCCAUGCCGCGUGUGUGAAGAAGGUCUUCGGAUUGUAAAGCACUUUAAGUUGGGAGGAAGGGCAGUAAGCGAAUACCUUGCUGUUUUGACGUUACCGACAGAAUAAGCACCGGCUAACUCUGUGCCAGCAGCCGCGGUAAUACAGAGGCUGCAAGCGUUAAUCGGAAUUACUGGGCGUAAAGCGCGCGUAGGUGGUUCGUUAAGUUGAAUGUGAAAGCCCCGGGCUCAACCUGGGAACUGCAUCCAAAACUGGCGGGCUAGAGUAGGGCAGAGGGUGGUGGAAUUUCCUGUGUAGCGGUGAAAUGCGUAGAUAUAGGAAGGAACACCAGUGGCGGAGGCGACCACCUGGGCUCAUACUGACACUGAGGUGCGAAAGCGUGGGGAGCAAACAGG
This 429-nucleotide ribosomal RNA is filed under the name Pseudomonadota bacterium. Its description in RNAcentral is "Proteobacteria bacterium partial 16S ribosomal RNA". It matches the Rfam family "Bacterial small subunit ribosomal RNA", at positions 355 to 776 of the family's 1533-position model. The record is from RNAcentral. Lineage: Bacteria; Pseudomonadati; Pseudomonadota.